This 86-nucleotide transfer RNA is filed under the name Xenopus laevis (African clawed frog). It matches the Rfam family "tRNA". From Rfam's summary of the family: Transfer RNA (tRNA) molecules are approximately 80 nucleotides in length. Lineage: Eukaryota; Metazoa; Chordata; Amphibia; Anura; Pipidae. The record is from Rfam by way of RNAcentral.
CCUUUGAUAGCUCAGCUGGUAGAGCGGAGGACUGUAGAUCUAUCAUAGCAAUCCUUAGGUCGCUGGUUCAAUUCCGGCUCGAAGGA